CAAUAGCGUAUAUUAAAGUUGUUGCAGUUAAAAAGCUCGUAGUUGGAUUUCUGGUAGGAGCGACCGUGCCGAACUUGAUUGUUCGAGUAUUGUGUUGUCUUCAGCCAUCCUCGUGGAGAACUUUUCUAACAUUAACUUGUUGGGAUUGGGACCCGCGUCGUUUACUGUGAAAAAAUUAGAGUGUUUAAAGCAGGCAUUAGCUUGAAUACAUUAGCAUGGAAUAAUAAGAUAGGACUUUGGUACUAUUUUGUUGGUUUGCAUACCAAAUUAAUGAUCAACAGGAACGGUUUGAGGAUAUUCGUAUGAACAUGUCAGAGGUGAAAUUCUUGGAUUUUGAUCAGACGAACUACUGCGAAAGCAUUUAUCAAGGAUGUUUUCAUUAA
RNAcentral lists this ribosomal RNA (383 nucleotides) under uncultured eukaryote. RNAcentral's name for it is "partial 18S ribosomal RNA". It matches the Rfam family "Eukaryotic small subunit ribosomal RNA", at positions 592 to 976 of the family's 1831-position model. The record is from RNAcentral.